GAGGAAAAAUGUAGGACCCACAUG
This 24-nucleotide non-coding RNA is filed under the name Arabidopsis thaliana (thale cress). Lineage: Eukaryota; Viridiplantae; Streptophyta; Magnoliopsida; Brassicales; Brassicaceae. The record is from RNAcentral.